This 87-nucleotide transfer RNA is filed under the name Candidatus Woesebacteria bacterium. RNAcentral describes it as "tRNA-Ser". It matches the Rfam family "tRNA". Rfam says of the family: Transfer RNA (tRNA) molecules are approximately 80 nucleotides in length. Lineage: Bacteria; Candidatus Woeseibacteriota. The record is from RNAcentral.
GGUGGGAUCGCAUAGUGGACUAGUGCGCACGCUUGGAGAGCGUGUGUCGCCGCAAGGUGACCGAGGGUUCGAAUCCCUCUCCCACCG